Cyprinus carpio (common carp) is the source of this 1312-nucleotide long non-coding RNA. NCBI's taxonomy places the organism in Eukaryota, Metazoa, Chordata, Actinopteri, Cypriniformes, Cyprinidae. The record is from Ensembl.
AUGGGACAAGGGAGACGAAUCCUUCCUGAUGCCACUAGGCUUCCUUUUACACCUCUCAGUGAAGGUGUCCAUAAUAGCUGGAAAAUAGUAAUGGACUCUUUUACAACUGGCUGCAGGGCCCUUCUGUUUGAAGUGGAUGGGUUCACACCAGACAGUAAUGCAGGAGGUCAGGAUACACAUGCAGGGAUGCUGGUAAUGAGGGAUUCUGUGAAGCAGAUGAGGAUUUGGGCAAGUGGUGGCUGGAAAGAGACAGCCGAGUGCACGAAGUGGAGAAAAAUGGGGAAAACAUCAGGCAUGGAGCUAGUUAGUUGAGACCCUUGGUGAUUUGUUGAGUCUAAAGGCCCCACAGCUGCAGGUGUGUCACUCUAAAGGAGGGUCAACCGGGUGUAACUCACACGGCUAGAGAGGCUUAUCUUAAUUCUGAAGGCAAGAAAAUCUAAGAUCCCAUUCACGCAUAGUCCCUCUAAUCAAUGUGGACAGGUAAUUCAGAUGAGAGCAGGAGAGAGCUUACUGCUUUCAGCUCAGUGCUGCUGCAUGGCAACUGCAAGACACACACACACAUCUAUACCCGCAGCAAUUUAAUCAAACGCACUUAGAGCAGGCAAUAACAACAGGUAUUAUGUAACAUAAUCAUCCACAUGAGCCAGGGCUGAGAUUACUAAUAACAUGAAGUGAUGAGCAGAACUGUGUUUAAAUACCCCUAUAUUCACUCCCUAAUUGUUCUAACCUGCCCGAGAUCUUCGCAGAGAAACCCCUGCGAAAACAUACCCACAGCUCUUUGGCAUGUAGUGCGGGAAACCGAGAAUGACUCAAAAGAACUGAAAGCAUUUGGGGAGGAUUCGUAAAUGAAUCCCUCCAAAAGAAAAGACAACAAGCGUAUUUGUUUCUGACUUUUGGCGCAUGCAGUGGAAUUCCAUUAGAUGAGUCAUAUGCAUACAGUAUCUCUCCAUUACGGUCAUCAAUUUCGGACUGAGCAGGUGGUUUACUGUAGUGUGUAACGCAGCAUGCAGGCCAGAGUCUGGGGUUUUUCACCUGCUGCUGGCUGCUCUCCAGCCUCUGCUGAGACUCUCUGCUCUAGUUCCCUGAUCGUCUGCUGCAGAAAACACACCACACCAGUCCUGAUGGGGCUAGUUCUCACAUUGUUUACUCCAGCAUCUAUGUUAUAUCAUAGCGAUGUAUUUAUUUUUUAAUAUAAAUUUUAAUUCUAUAUCUGCACAUACUUUUUAGUCUUAGCUAAAAACACAAGAAAAAAAAAAGGUACUUUUGAACGCUUUCAUUGGUAUUGUCCCGGAAAAGAGGCAGGCAUAGUUCA